CCCUCAGAUUUACAUAUAUUUCCAUACAUAACCAUUAAAAAGAGCUAUAGUUCGGCUGUGUAGUUAUAAACCUCUGCUGCAAUUUAAUAAUAUUGGGCAGUGCCACAAAUAAAGAAGCAAGAUGAUUUUACAAAUGUAUUUGAUUUGGCUCCUCUUUUCUGUGUUUGAAGAAUCCAGUGGGCAGAUUGUUAUCACUCAGACACCUGCUUCUGUGACGGUGCUUCCAGGAGAGACGGUCACCAUUGAGUGCAAGGCGUCCAGCUCCAUGAGUGACGAUAUGCAUUUAUAUCUGUUUAAAUCGGGACAAAAUCCUAAGCUCCUCAUAAAUGAUGCCGCCAACCGUUUCACUGGGGUCCCUGAUCGGUUCAGUGGUAGAUACAGAGGCGCUCACUUCAUAUUCACCAUUACUGGCGUGCAUGUGGAAGAUGCAGGAGAAUACUACUGUGGACAAAGCUACCGCCGUCCUCUCACAGUGAUACAGUUCAAUACUAAAACCUGUUCAGAGCCCCAGCAAACACAUGGUGAAGCGGAAGGAAGUGGUGGUGGCUGUCUCUAACCCAGCUGUAAUGUAACAAAUGAUUGAAGUUAGAUUUUUUUAUUCAUUCAGCUUGUUUGGAAAACCUUCUUUG
This is a non-coding RNA of Chelonia mydas (Green sea turtle), 629 nucleotides long. The record is from the annotation of a RefSeq genome assembly. Lineage: Eukaryota; Metazoa; Chordata; Testudines; Cheloniidae.